RNAcentral lists this ribosomal RNA (445 nucleotides) under uncultured bacterium. Its description in RNAcentral is "bacterial SSU rRNA". It matches the Rfam family "Bacterial small subunit ribosomal RNA", at positions 338 to 795 of the family's 1533-position model. The record is from RNAcentral.
CCUACGGGGGGCUGCAGUCAAGAACCUUCCACAAUGGACGAAAGUCUGAUGGAGCGACGCCGCGUGAUUGAUGAAGUCCCUAUGGGACGUAAAGAUCUUUUGUCAGGGAUGAAGUUUAUUGACCGUACCUGAAGAAUAAGAGGCUCCUAAUCUCGUGCCAGCAGGAGCGGUAAUACGAGAGCCUCGAGCGUUAUCCGGAAUUAUUGGGCGUAAAGGGUGUGUAGGUUGUUCUGUUAGUCUUUUGUUAAAGCCCUGUGCUUAACACAGGAUCCGCAAAAGAUACGGCAGGACUAGAAAGUGUGAGAGGUGUACGGAACUCAUGGUGUAGGGGUGAAAUCCGUUGAUAUCAUGGGGAACACCAAAAGCGAAAGCAGUACACUAGCGCAUAUUUGACACUGAAACACGAAAGCGUGGGUAGCGAAUGGGAUUAGAUACCCCAGUAGUC